This 253-nucleotide ribosomal RNA is filed under the name uncultured bacterium. Its description in RNAcentral is "partial 16S ribosomal RNA". It matches the Rfam family "Bacterial small subunit ribosomal RNA", at positions 524 to 776 of the family's 1533-position model. The record is from RNAcentral.
UACGGAGGAUCCAAGCGUUAUCCGGAUUUAUUGGGUUUAAAGGGUGCGUAGGCGGAUUGAUAAGUUAGAGGUGAAAUGUCCGAGCUUAACUCGGGAACUGCCUCUAAUACUGUUGAUCUAGAGAGUAGAUGCGGUAGGCGGAAUGUAUGGUGUAGCGGUGAAAUGCUUAGAGAUCAUACAGAGCACCGAUUGCGAAGGCAGCUUACCAAUCUAUAUCUGACGUUGAGGCACGAAAGCGUGGGGAGCAAACAGG